CGGUGAGUAGCGCAGCCUGGUAGCGCACCUGCCUUGGGAGCAGGGGGUCGCUGGUUCGAUUCCAGUCUCACCGA
This is a non-coding RNA of Geobacteraceae bacterium GWC2_55_20, 74 nucleotides long. NCBI's taxonomy places the organism in Bacteria, Pseudomonadati, Thermodesulfobacteriota, Desulfuromonadia, Geobacterales, Geobacteraceae. The record is from Rfam.